GGGUCCAUAGCUCAGUGGUAGAGCGUUUGCACCAUAACUCAAGGUCCUCGGUUCAAUCCCGAGUGGAUCCA
This is a transfer RNA of Fonticula alba, 71 nucleotides long. It matches the Rfam family "tRNA". Rfam says of the family: Transfer RNA (tRNA) molecules are approximately 80 nucleotides in length. Their secondary structure includes four short double-helical elements and three loops (D, anti-codon, and T loops). NCBI's taxonomy places the organism in Eukaryota, Rotosphaerida, Fonticulaceae. The record is from Rfam.